AACCCUUCCUGAAAAGAUGUAGCCGCAUCAUCAGUAACGAGUCUUGGGCUAUAUUUAGCAAUAAAUACAGUUAAGCGUAGACAGCUAGGUAUUAGAGUUAGUAUUGAGCCACGAAAUAUGCUCUUAAACUUUAGGGCAGAUGCUGUUAAUAAAGCAGAAUGCAAAACGGAAAAAAACGAAAUGGCUAGAUUAUUUCUGCCUAUACGGGGUCAAAGACC
Molecule: non-coding RNA, 218 nt
Filed under: chicken gut metagenome
Source: RNAcentral